This 253-nucleotide ribosomal RNA is filed under the name uncultured bacterium. RNAcentral describes it as "partial 16S ribosomal RNA". It matches the Rfam family "Bacterial small subunit ribosomal RNA", at positions 524 to 776 of the family's 1533-position model. The record is from RNAcentral.
UACGUAGGGGGCAAGCGUUGUCCGGAUUCAUUGGGCGUAAAGAGCGUGUAGGCGGCCAGGUAGGUCCGUUGUGAAAACUCGAGGCUCAACCUCGAGACGUCGAUGGAAACCAUCUGGCUAGAGUCCGGAAGAGGAGAGUGGAAUUCCUGGUGUAGCGGUGAAAUGCGCAGAUAUCAGGAAGAACGCCUAUGGCGAAGGCAGCUCUCUGGGACGGUACUGACGCUGAGACGCGAAAGCGUGGGGAGCGAACAGG